ACAUUGCAAAGAGUGGCGAACGGGUGAGUAACACGUGGGAAACCUACCUCUUAGCAGGGGAUAACAUUUGGAAACAGAUGCUAAUACCGUAUAACAAUGACAACCGCAUGGUUGUUAUUUAAAAGAUGGUUCUGCUAUCACUAAGAGAUGGUCCCGCGGUGCAUUAGCUAGUUGGUAAGGUAAUGGCUUACCAAGGCGAUGAUGCAUAGCCGAGUUGAGAGACUGAUCGGCCACAAUGGGACUGAGACACGGCCCAUACUCC
RNAcentral lists this ribosomal RNA (262 nucleotides) under uncultured Weissella sp. RNAcentral describes it as "partial 16S ribosomal RNA". It matches the Rfam family "Bacterial small subunit ribosomal RNA", at positions 83 to 339 of the family's 1533-position model. The record is from RNAcentral. Lineage: Bacteria; Bacillati; Bacillota; Bacilli; Lactobacillales; Lactobacillaceae.